CUUCAACCUUCAUACUCAUCUGAACCAUCAUCUCCUUCAUCUUCAGUUUGGAUCAAUUACUCAAGAACAAAAAGCAUAAUCUUGAUGAACAACAUUAAGAUGGGCAAAGUAUUGCGAGUUUGCGACUGUUUCUCAUGACAGGACAAUAAACUAUGGUCUAGCAAAAAUGCUGAAAAGGAUAAGGCAAUGGAUGUUGAUUGAAUCUCUUUAGGCAAAUUGUAUACGAGGUAAAGUCUGUGAAGAUGAAGGGGAUGAUGUUCAUAUGAAUAUGAAAGUUAAAGAUGAAGGAAAUUAGGGUAUUAAAAGGGGGAAAGACAAGUGGGGAGGUGAAUUGACCGUUCUACCCUCAUGUGUAGUGCACAUGACAUAACUUAACUGAAAAUUAUAACUGGGUUUGCUCUAAAGGACAUAACGUGCAAGAUUUUCAAACAUUAAGUACAAAAGUCAUCAAUUUUAAAGGUAAAGGACAACGCUUGAAAUUUGAGACAAACAUAAAGGACAAAACUUGUAAUUUACUCAAUGUUUUAUUUAGUUCAACACCAAGGACACAAUGCACCAUAGUGACUUGACGCAUGCCAGGCUCGCAACUUUUGAAAUCUAGUCUAAUAUGGAUAUGGAAAGUCGGGUUAUUGCUCCGAUUAAGUGGCCAGACCGAUAUCAUAUGAUUGUUGUGGUCAAACCAGGUGAAAUCCUGAACGUGUUGACCAGAAGUUGGGUAGAGUUUGUACUGGUGCCACUUUGCUUCUAGUAUGCGGGUUACUACUGGGUCAUUUUCAGACACACGUAAGGAACCGUUUUUGUAUUCAUAUAUACAUAGAUUUGCUUCACAUGCUUUCGGUUCUCAUACACAUUUGAUGCUUAUUGACUUAGGGUGAGCAAAAACCAAACCAUAACCGAAAUCCGAACCGUCAAAAAUUAACCAAAACCAACAUAAUCAAUCGGUUAUGCUUAAGUAAAUAUGAUGAACUGACCAUGGUUAUGGUUGAUGUAUCUCCGUUAACAGACUUCAAGCGAAACGGAACCGAACCUUGUAUUAUGUUUAUGAUUUUCUGGAAUAAUAUAUUGUUGUUGGCUGCUGUACACACCAUAUAAUCAUGUUGCUGACUUGCUGCUACAGAGAUAUACGAUAUGUGUUUGCUUGCCGGUUAAUCAGGAAGCAAUAAUUGUUGUGUUAGAGGCUUUGCUACUAUAUGGGGAUUUGUCCGAAAAGGAUUUCCUGCAUUUUGUGCAUAAAUGUCAUGGGUUCUUCGACAUUGGUUAUGUCAGCGUGAUAACCAGCUAUGCACACCAUCUGUUUGAUAAAACGCUUCAAUGAAACCCACUUCUAUGAGAAAUGAAGUAUGGUUUAUAUUGUUUUGAACCUAUAAAAAUCUACAAAAUGCCAAUUAAGCAACAAUGUAAAAUAAGGUCUAGCAUAACAUGUAUACCAGUCAAGAAUGUUGUUUAUUCAAUGUCUUACAGUCACAUAUGCUUUUGUUUGAUGUAGGGGUUUGUGGAUUAUAGCAGCAACUACUUAGGACUUGUUUCUCGGCAAGGCGGUAAGUAGAGAAAAUCUAGGACACUUGUUAAUCGUCGGGUAUCUUAUAUACAGCCUCUGUCUGCUUCUAUGAACGCAUAUUAGCAUCAUAAUCACUUCAUCAAACAUCAGAAUCAAACGAGUGGGUGUUAAUUGAAGCCACUUUAGGGGCAUCAUCGGUUGUGAAACAGUACCGAGGGAUGUUGUAUAGGGCUGCCAAAACGGGUUAACACGAAAACAACCAAGAGCAAGUUUGAAGCAAGUGACUAAGAAAGAAGCAAGAGCAAGAAACAAGUAUGAUCUUUGUGAACCGAUCAAGAAAGAGAAGAAGCAAGAAAGAAAGUUAAUCUUCACCAAGAAAGAAAGAAGAAACGGGUCAAGAUUAAGGGGGUGAGCGUAAGGUUAAUCUUGUCAUGGAUACGGGUCAAAAGUGGAUAUUGGUCAGCAGGAAGUUUGUUUAUUAAGUCACAUAUUUAUUAGUGAUUUUAAGUAGUCGUGUGUAGGUUUAGUGGGUCAAGAAAACGCAGCAUAAAUGUAGGAGUUUUAGGAGAUAAUGUGUUACAUGGUUGGUUAGUUAGUUAGAGUCUAUUUAAUGUAAAUUUGCAAUGAAUGAAAGGUGUGGGUUUUGAAGCAGUAAUAA
Long non-coding RNA from Helianthus annuus (common sunflower), 2156 nucleotides. RefSeq lists it as uncharacterized. The transcript has 2 exons. The record is from RefSeq and is a predicted model, not a curated record. Lineage: Eukaryota; Viridiplantae; Streptophyta; Magnoliopsida; Asterales; Asteraceae.